UACGUAGGGUGCAAGCGUUGUCCGGAAUUAUUGGGCGUAAAGAGCUCGUAGGCGGUCUGUCGCGUCGGCUGUGAAAUCCCGAGGCUCAACCUCGGGUCUGCAGUCGAUACGGGCAAACUAGAGUAUUGCAGGGGAGACUGGAAUUCCUGGUGUAGCGGUGUAAUGCGCAGAUAUCAGGAGGAACACCGGUGGCGAAGGCGGGUCUCUGGGCAAUAACUGACGCUGAGGAGCGAAAGCGUGGGGAGCGAACAGG
RNAcentral lists this ribosomal RNA (253 nucleotides) under uncultured bacterium. RNAcentral describes it as "partial 16S ribosomal RNA". It matches the Rfam family "Bacterial small subunit ribosomal RNA", at positions 524 to 776 of the family's 1533-position model. The record is from RNAcentral.